GAUGAACGCUAGCGGCAGGCCUAACACAUGCAAGUCGAGGGGCAGCACAGAAACAGCAAUGUUUUGGUGGCGACCGGCGGACGGGUGCGUAACGCGUAUGCAACCUACCUUUAACAGGGGGAUAACGGAGAGAAAUUUCCACUAAUACCCCAUAACAUCGAUCAAGGCAUCUUGAUUGGUUGAAAACUCCGGUGGUUAAAGAUGGGCAUGCGUUGUAUUAGGUAGUUGGUGAGGUAAUGGCUGACCAAGCCUACGAUACAUAGGGGGACUGCGAGGUUCGCCCCCCACACUGGUACUGAGACCCGGACCAGACUCCUACGGGAGGCAGCAGUGAGGAAUAUUGGUCAAUGGGGGCAACCCUGAACCAGCCAUGCCGCGUGCAGGAAGACGGCUCUAUGAGUUGUAAACUGCUUUUAAACAGGGAUAAAGCACAGUAUGUAUACUGUGUUGAAGGUACUGUAAGAAUAAGGAUCGGCUAACUCCGUGCCAGCCGCCGCCGUAA
This 502-nucleotide ribosomal RNA is filed under the name uncultured bacterium. RNAcentral's name for it is "partial 16S ribosomal RNA". It matches the Rfam family "Bacterial small subunit ribosomal RNA", at positions 28 to 523 of the family's 1533-position model. The record is from RNAcentral.